Molecule: ribosomal RNA, 464 nt
Filed under: Vreelandella stevensii
Lineage: Bacteria; Pseudomonadati; Pseudomonadota; Gammaproteobacteria; Oceanospirillales; Halomonadaceae
Description: partial 16S ribosomal RNA
Rfam family: Bacterial small subunit ribosomal RNA
Source: RNAcentral
CCUACGGUGUGCAGCAGUGGGGAAUAUUGGACAAUGGGCGAAAGCCUGAUCCAGCCAUGCCGCGUGUGUGAAGAAGGCCUUCGGGUUGUAAAGCACUUUCAGUGGGGAAGAAAGCCUUGGGGCUAAUACCCUCGAGGAGGACAUCACCCACAGAAGAAGCACCGGCUAACUCCGUGCCAGCAGCCGCGGUAAUACGGAGGGUGCGAGCGUUAAUCGGAAUUACUGGGCGUAAAGCGCGCGUAGGCGGUCUGAUAAGCCGGUUGUGAAAGCCCCGGGCUCAACCUGGGAACGGCAUCCGGAACUGUCAGGCUAGAGUGCAGGAGAGGAAGGUAGAAUUCCCGGUGUAGCGGUGAAAUGCGUAGAGAUCGGGAGGAAUACCAGUGGCGAAGGCGGCCUUCUGGACUGACACUGACGCUGAGGUGCGAAAGCGUGGGUAGCAAACAGGAUUAGAUACCCUAGUAGUC